GUUUCUGCCUUGAGUUCCUGUCUUGACUCCCUCAAAUGAUAGACUCUCACAUGGAGAGAUUCAUGAGAGAUUCCCUCAAGUAAUCUAUAUCCUGGAGUCUCCAUCUCAAGCCUCCAGGAGCUGUUACACAGCAAUCUCUGUCCUACCCGUUAAUGAUAGUGUGAACUGAAUGUGAAAUGAACUCAUCUUAACAGCUGGUCUGCCUCAGAUCCAAGGCUUUGAGACCAUCAACCGCUUGGCGAUGCUGACCUAAGUACAAACAGUUCUCUGGCACCACGUGGUUAUAUACAAAUGACAUCCUGGGUGGAUCCUCAGAAGAAUGCUUGUACCAUCCACCGCAGUUCAGCCUCCUUUGAUUUCGUAUUCCCAGAGCAAAGGUCUGCCUAUGCUUUAAUUGUCGUAUGGGUCUUCGAUGUUCUGUUCCAUCUCGUCUACCAUAAAUUUGUCCUCCGUAUCCUGAAGGAUAUAAGAAUUACUGAUACAUGCUUUGUUUGGCUCCAAUGCAGAGGAUGAGAAUGGCAACUCCUGUCAUGUUUUGGAUCUUUAAUGUCCCUAUAGACCCUUAUGGGAAAGCUUUAUUCUCCAGGCUGUGACACUCAUAGCAGAUGAUAGACCCUUUAAGAGGUAAAACCUGGUUUAAAUCGACCAAAGGGAUAUACUCCUGGAAGAGAUAGUAGGAAUGGAGCCUUGAUCAAUCAUACACACUCUCUCUCCUCUCUCUGUCCCUCCAUUUUUCCUUACUAUUUUUAGAAAGAUGAGCAGGUUUUCCACCAGCUAUUCACCCACAUGAGGACUCUGCUGAAGAGGAGGAACCCACUGAUCACAGAAUGAAGUUUUUAGCAUUGUGACCCAAAAUAAAUCUUACCUCCUUAAGUAGAUUGUUUCAACGAUUUUGUUUCAGUAACAGAAAGCUGACUAAUGUAACUUUCAGCUGCAUCAUGUUUUGAAUUACUGAAAAGGAAACUUUAAGUUUCUUCAGGCAUUCAAUAUCUUCAUCUAUAAAAUAAAGAUAAUAAUAACCUAGAAUGGUGGGUGGUGUAAAUAAAUUCUGUGCAAUGAAAUUAUUGGAACAGAGCAUGACAUGUACUAAGUGAUAAUAAAUAUUAAGAGAUCUGAA
RNAcentral lists this small RNA (1117 nucleotides) under Rattus norvegicus (Norway rat). Its description in RNAcentral is "uncharacterized LOC102546489". Lineage: Eukaryota; Metazoa; Chordata; Mammalia; Rodentia; Muridae. The record is from RNAcentral.